AUCUUAUCAAGAGAAGCAGAGGGAUAUGGCCCGAUGAAGCUUCAGCAACCUCUAGCGCAGCUAGAAAGGUGCUAAUUCCAGCAAGGUGUAUGCCUUGAAAGAUAAGAG
This 108-nucleotide non-coding RNA is filed under the name Lysinibacillus odysseyi. RNAcentral describes it as "SAM-I sequence". It matches the Rfam family "SAM riboswitch aptamer (S box leader)". From Rfam's summary of the family: The SAM riboswitch is found upstream of a number of genes which code for proteins involved in methionine or cysteine biosynthesis in Gram-positive bacteria. The SAM riboswitch acts at the level of transcription termination control. Lineage: Bacteria; Bacillati; Bacillota; Bacilli; Caryophanales; Bacillaceae. The record is from RNAcentral. RNAcentral also lists the same sequence under 1 other name.